Molecule: RNA transcript, 1695 nt
Organism: Zea mays
Lineage: Eukaryota; Viridiplantae; Streptophyta; Magnoliopsida; Poales; Poaceae
Gene name: gamma-glutamylcyclotransferase pseudogene
Source: RefSeq, marked validated
AACCCCGCGCUCCACUUACGUGACUCGCGCGCGACACGCGAGCAGGAGGUUGAGACGAAGACCCGCCGCCACCGGGGAUGGCCCAAGCGCCGCCGCGACCUAGGGAGCGAGGAUGAGGAGCUCGAGGAGGUGCGCCGCAUGCAGAGGAUUCCUGCAAGGAGGAGAACAUGGAGGUGGUGCCCGUAGUAGUAGGGGAACCGAUCAAGAGCACUGGCGAGGGGAAGAAAUAGAAGAAGCACUAUGCUUCCUUGGAGUACCACGUCAACAGCUUGGAGCUGCUUGCAUUGACCACAGAGGCACACCGGAGCAUCCGGCGAGGACCUGCACGCUUGAAACCGACGACGAGGCCAUGCCAUCUUUGCAUGCCCCGCCUUUUUACACGGUGACACAGUGUUACAUGGGCAAGUGGGGAAUUGCAUAUUGUGUCAAGGGUGGUCCAGAAAAAGAGCUAAAAGCAAUGCAGUACUUGGAGAGAAGAGAGUGUGAGUAUGACCAGAAGAUAUCCAUUGAUUUCUACAAGGAAGGAGAUCCCUUGAAACCAGCUGUGAUGGGCGUCUUAGUGUUCGUUUCCACUCCAGAUCCAAUUGGCAACAAGUACUAUCUUGGCCCUGCUCCUUUGCAGAAUAUGGCAAGGCCACGAAGAUGAUUCGAUCAUAGAGCUUGCAAACAAGGUGAGGAAGGUGCUCAACAGAACAAAGGAGACCAAAAUCACUGCGAUGCAGGGCGCGUGAACUCUUCUACUACCUCAAGGGUAAGCAGGUGGACUAUGGCGAGGAGCACAGCAAGGCUUGCGGCCACAACAGGUUUGGGAGAAUAUAUCACACAGGUCACUAUCCUGUUUGUUAUGAGCACAACCCAGUGCAUUUUGUGGGGCACUCUGCUGGCGCGCAGGUUGUGAGGGUGCUGCAUCAGAUGCUUGCCGACAAGGAGACCGUGGAGGUGGUUCUGGAGGGAGCAUCUUUAUAAGGGCUGCAUCGAUAAGCUAGAUGUGAUGAUGAGAAAUCACUUCGUAUGUCUCAAAUGAGCUUGGCGAAGAGAUUUGGCUAAUCCAGAUCUUUUGUUGCCUCCACUCUGAUGGAAUAUGGUUUUGGAUCCUGAAGGAGAAAGCGGGUCCUAAGGGAGGAAGCAGAGCAAUUGGAGCUCGAACUGGAGAUGCAUAGAGAGUUAAGGGAGUAGAUGCUGCAACUCUUGUGGCCUACGCUCGAGCUGAAGCCAGAUUAGUGAUGAGGGGGGCAGUUGUCCUUGCUGCUAAGCAUGCAAAAACAAUGGUCGGGAAGCCAUUGUUGUAUGGAAUAGGUACCCUGUUGGUCAUGUCGCUGAGGACACUGUAUGGAGUGGGUUGUGUUUUUGGCGCACGGUGGUUCCUCUACAUGACAAGCGUAUCUCCAUCGCUGCAAAUUGAGUUUGUAAGUGGUCCGAAACAACUAGGUAGCUACUAGCUAUUGAGUAUUUAGGAGUCAAUGCUUAAUGAUAUUUACUUAAUGCUUAAUUGCUUAUCGAAGUAAGAACCCUGUUUUUUGUAUUGACAUGGUGGUGCUCUUUAGGAGAGAAGCCAGGGGUAAAAAACAAUUAGUUCUGCAGAUUUUAUUUUAUUUCGAUCAGUUGUGAGAGUUUCUUACAAUUGGAUGACAUUGCUUUGUAGAAAGAAAAUACAAGGUAUUUUUUAGUAGGAAAGAGUUGCAUUUUCUGUGCUCA